Molecule: ribosomal RNA, 263 nt
Filed under: uncultured soil bacterium
Lineage: Bacteria
Description: partial 16S ribosomal RNA
Rfam family: Bacterial small subunit ribosomal RNA
Source: RNAcentral
AGGACGAACGCUGGCGGCGUGCUUAACACAUGCAAGUCGGACGGUGAAGCUCCAGCUUGCUGGAGUGGAUCAGUGGCGAACGGGUGAGUAACACGUGAGCAACCUGCCCCAAACUCUGGAAUAAGCACUGGAAACGGUGUCUAAUACUGGAUACGAGACCAACCUGCAUGGGUAUGGUUUGGAAAGUUUUUUCGGUUGGGAUGGGCUCGCGGCCUAUCAGCUUGUUGGUGAGGUAAUGGCUCACCAAGGCGACGACGGGUAGC